AGUGAACGCUGGCGGUAGGCCUAACACAUGCAAGUCGAACGGCAGCACAGUAAGAGCUUGCUCUUACGGGUGGCGAGUGGCGGACGGGUGAGGAAUACAUCGGAAUCUACUUUUUCGUGGGGGAUAACGUAGGGAAACUUACGCUAAUACCGCAUACGACCUACGGGUGAAAGCAGGGGAUCUUCGGACCUUGCGCGAUUGAAUGAGCCGAUGUCGGAUUAGCUAGUUGGCGGGGUAAAGGCCCACCAAGGCGACGAUCCGUAGCUGGUCUGAGAGGAUGAUCAGCCACACUGGAACUGAGACACGGUCCAGACUCCUACGAGAGGCAGCAGUGGGGAAUAUUGGACAAUGGGCGCAAGACUGAUCCAGCCAUACCGCGUGGGUGAAGAAGGCCUUCGGGUUGUAAAGCCCUUUUGUUGGGAAAGAAAAGCAGCAGGUUAAUACCCCGCUGUUCUGACGGUACCCAAAGAAUAAGCACCGGCUAACUUCG
This 490-nucleotide ribosomal RNA is filed under the name uncultured bacterium. RNAcentral's name for it is "partial 16S ribosomal RNA". It matches the Rfam family "Bacterial small subunit ribosomal RNA", at positions 29 to 505 of the family's 1533-position model. The record is from RNAcentral.